This 85-nucleotide transfer RNA is filed under the name Acidobacteriota bacterium. Its description in RNAcentral is "tRNA-Leu". It matches the Rfam family "tRNA". Rfam says of the family: Transfer RNA (tRNA) molecules are approximately 80 nucleotides in length. Their secondary structure includes four short double-helical elements and three loops (D, anti-codon, and T loops). The record is from RNAcentral. Lineage: Bacteria; Pseudomonadati; Acidobacteriota.
GCGAGAGUGGCGGAACUGGUAGACGCGCUGGAUUUAGGAUCCAGUGGGGCAACUCGUGGGGGUUCGACUCCCCCCUCUCGCACCA